UACGGGGGGAGCAAGCGUUGUCCGGAUUUAUUGGGCGUAAAGAGCGUGUAGGCGGCCAUACAGGUCAGCUGUGAAAACUCGAGGCUCAACCUCGAGACGUCGGUUGAAACCGUUUGGCUAGAGUCCGGAAGAGGAGAGUGGAAUUCCCGGUGUAGCGGUGAAAUGCGCAGAUAUCGGGAAGAACACCCGCGGCGAAGGCGGCUCUCUGGGACGGUACUGACGCUGAGACGCGAAAGCGUGGGGAGCGAACAGG
This 253-nucleotide ribosomal RNA is filed under the name uncultured bacterium. RNAcentral's name for it is "partial 16S ribosomal RNA". It matches the Rfam family "Bacterial small subunit ribosomal RNA", at positions 524 to 776 of the family's 1533-position model. The record is from RNAcentral.